AGAGACGAGUCAGAGUUUGAUCCUGGCUCAGGACGAACGCUGGCGGCGUGCCUAACACAUGCAAGUCGAGCGGGGACUGAGGUGCUUGCACCUUGGUUCUAGCGGCGGACGGGUGAGUAACGCGUGAGCAACCUGCCUCAAACUGGGGGAUAACGCAUCGAAAGAUGUGCUAAUACCGCGUAAGACCACGCUACCACAUGGUAGAGGGGUCAAAGGAGCAAUCCGGUUUGAGAUGGGCUCGCGUCCGAUUAGCUAGUUGGCGGGAUAACAGCCCACCAAGGCGACGAUCGGUAGCCGACCUGAGAGGGUGAUCGGCCACAUUGGAACUGAGAUACGGUCCAG
This 342-nucleotide ribosomal RNA is filed under the name uncultured bacterium. RNAcentral describes it as "bacterial SSU rRNA". It matches the Rfam family "Bacterial small subunit ribosomal RNA", at positions 1 to 334 of the family's 1533-position model. The record is from RNAcentral.